GGCCCUAUCGUCUAGAGGCCUAGGACGCCGCCCUCUCACGGCGGUAACGCGGGUUCGACUCCCGCUGGGGCUACCA
RNAcentral lists this transfer RNA (76 nucleotides) under bacterium. RNAcentral describes it as "tRNA-Glu". It matches the Rfam family "tRNA". From Rfam's summary of the family: Transfer RNA (tRNA) molecules are approximately 80 nucleotides in length. RNAcentral also lists the same sequence under 3 other names. The record is from RNAcentral.